AAUAGAUACCCGGGUAGUCCACGCCGUAAACGAUGAGUGCUAAGUGUUAGGGGGUUUCCGCCCCUUAGUGCUGCAGCUAACGCAUUAAGCACUCCGCCUGGGGAGUACGGUCGCAAGACUGAAACUCAAAGGAAUUGACGGGGGCCCGCAUAAGCGGUGGAGCAUGUGGUUUAAUUCGAAGCGACGCGAAGAACCUUACCAGGUCUUGACAUCCUCUGACAACCCUAGAGAUAGGGCUUUCCCUUCGGGGACAGAGUGACAGGUGGUGCAUGGUUGUCGUCAGCUCGUGUCGUGAGAUGUUGGGUUAAGUCCCGCAACGAGCGCAACCCUUGAUCUUAGUUGCCAGCAUUCAGUUGGGCACUCUAAGGUGACUGCCGGUGACAAACCGGAGGAAGGUGGGGAUGACGUCAAAUCAUCAUGCCCCUUAUGACCUGGGCUACACACGCGCUACAAUGGACAGAACAAAGGGCUGCAAGACCGCAAGGUUUAGCCAAUCCCAUAAAAUCUGUUCUCAGUUCGGAUCGCAGU
This 528-nucleotide ribosomal RNA is filed under the name uncultured bacterium. Its description in RNAcentral is "bacterial SSU rRNA". It matches the Rfam family "Bacterial small subunit ribosomal RNA", at positions 777 to 1304 of the family's 1533-position model. The record is from RNAcentral.